ACUUCAUAAAGGCCUUUUGAUGAUGAGGCCAAUGAUGCUGGAGCCUGGACUGUGGAAAGAGGAGGCUGGCCACAGCAGAAUCAUUGAGCCACACAGUCCCCAAGAGGCCACUUGGAUCUCAUGCAGCCCCGGCUGGCCUUGAACUAGAUGCACAGAGGACCGUAAACUUCUGAUCGUCCAACCUUUACCUCCAGAGUGCUGAGAUUAUGCAUGCGCCACCACACCCAGUUUAUGGGGCUCUGGAGAUCAGACCCCAUACUUCUAGCAUACAAUCAGAGCUGCAUCCCGGCCCUUGUUCCAGUUUCGGAUUCACCAUUCUGAUAUACCUGGCUUACAGUGAACAGAGUCAUACCAUAGACACAGGAAUCUGGACCUGCACCCUCCACCUGGGCUAUGGCUAUGAAACUGCAAAUCACCUGAGGGGAAAUAAGUGAGCGCCUCUGGCCUGUGGUAACUAACAGAUUUUGAUGGCCCCUCCCCUAGAAGACGACGACCUCAGCUGGGAUACCCCAAGCCUUAAAGACUUCAACUGAAGACUUCACUACCCACUGUGUGGGAGUUUUCAUCAGCUCGACACAGCUAGAGCUUCUCCGGAAGUUGGAACCGCGAUUGAGAAAAUGCUUCCACCAGCCUGGCCUAUGGGAAACCUGUG
Peromyscus maniculatus bairdii (prairie deer mouse) is the source of this 652-nucleotide non-coding RNA. Lineage: Eukaryota; Metazoa; Chordata; Mammalia; Rodentia; Cricetidae. The record is from RefSeq and is a predicted model, not a curated record.